RNAcentral lists this ribosomal RNA (429 nucleotides) under Chloroflexota bacterium. RNAcentral's name for it is "Chloroflexi bacterium partial 16S ribosomal RNA". It matches the Rfam family "Bacterial small subunit ribosomal RNA", at positions 355 to 776 of the family's 1533-position model. Lineage: Bacteria; Bacillati; Chloroflexota. The record is from RNAcentral.
UGGGGAAUAAUGCACAAUGGGCGCAAGCCUGAUGCAGCCAUGCCGCGUGUGUGAAGAAGGCCUUCGGGUUGUAAAGCACUUUCAGCGGGGAGGAAGGCGGUGAGGUUAAUAACCUCAUCGAUUGACGUUACCCGCAGAAGAAGCACCGGCUAACUCCGUGCCAGCAGCCGCGGUAAUACGGAGGGUGCAAGCGUUAAUCGGAAUUACUGGGCGUAAAGCGCACGCAGGCGGUCUGUCAAGUCGGAUGUGAAAUCCCCGGGCUCAACCUGGGAACUGCAUUCGAAACUGGCAGGCUAGAGUCUUGUAGAGGGGGGUAGAAUUCCAGGUGUAGCGGUGAAAUGCGUAGAGAUCUGGAGGAAUACCGGUGGCGAAGGCGGCCCCCUGGACAAAGACUGACGCUCAGGUGCGAAAGCGUGGGGAGCAAACAGG